CGGUGUCGUUCUCCGAGCCCAGGAGCUUGCCCUGGGACUCCAGGCUGGAGCUUCGGUGCCUAAAGUGCAGUGCGAGGCUGUGCAGUCGCGUGGGGCUGAUGUCCACCGACCUGCCAGGAGACGCCCAGUGUAGCUCCCUCCCACUUCCAUCCUUUCCUUUGGCCAAGAAGUGCAGAUGGAUGAGAUUCUCCUUAAACAGAGUUUGGGGACCUGGAAGAAUGAAGCUGUGGCUGUCAGAAAUGGCUGAUGGACCUAACGGAUGACACCCAGACAGCAUGUUUGCUGCUGUCCUUUCUGCUGACCAAGCCUCUCCUCUGCAGAUGCGUAUUCACCAGCUGCUGAGGGAUGGGAGAGGCAGCUCGUGCAUGUGUGAGGAUUUGGGGGUGAAUGCAGAAUCCCCCCCAAAUUGUUCAUUUUUCUAUUUCCUCUCUUCCCUAGUGAAACCCCUCUGGAUCAGACCUAGCUCUAAACAGCAUCUUCUUGGUUGUGUUCUUGAGCAGUGAGCUGUCUUACUGACAGGGUCCUGCAGGGUGGGCAUACUUGGGAGCCUGCAGGAGAUGUAGGAUGUCUGGCUAACUCCACAGCUAGUAAACCCAGGACAAAUGCAUCAGCAGCCUCUCAAGGCCAGGGAGAGAGCAUACAACUUGCCCCAGGAAAUUCACAGAUUUCUGAAAUUGGAUGCGAACUGAUCUAGCCUAAUAGGAGGAGAUCAACUGUUGGCUGGAAUCAACACAUCUUCCUGUUUAGUGGCUCAGUAAAACAUCCUUGCCUCUGUGCAUAAUGCACCAAGCUGGAGGCCACCAUCAGGGAGAAGUUCUUAGCCUGAUCUCAUUGACUUUUGAGCACUUGCGGUCUAAAGAGAGCGGGAACCAGGAGUGAGAGCAAACGGUGAAGGUUCAAGGGAACUAUUUCUGAGAUAAUAAACUCCUGCCAAAUCCUGCCA
Non-coding RNA from Callithrix jacchus (white-tufted-ear marmoset), 943 nucleotides. The record is from RefSeq and is a predicted model, not a curated record. NCBI's taxonomy places the organism in Eukaryota, Metazoa, Chordata, Mammalia, Primates, Cebidae.